Molecule: ribosomal RNA, 489 nt
Filed under: uncultured bacterium
Lineage: Bacteria
Description: partial 16S ribosomal RNA
Rfam family: Bacterial small subunit ribosomal RNA
Source: RNAcentral
AUUGAACGCUGGCGGCAGGCCUAACACAUGCAAGUCGAACGGUAACAGGAAGCAGCUUGCUGCUUCGCUGACGAGUGGCGGACGGGUGAGUAAUGUCUGGGAAACUGCCUGAUGGAGGGGGAUAACUACUGGAAACGGUAGCUAAUACCGCAUAACGUCGCAAGACCAAAGAGGGGGACCUUAGGCCUCUUGCCAUCGGAUGUGCCCAGAUGGGAUUAGCUAGUAGGUGGGGUAACGGCUCACCUAGGCGACGAUCCCUAGCUGGUCUGAGAGGAUGACCAGCCACACUGGAACUGAGACACGGUCCAGACUCCUACGGGAGGCAGCAGUGGGGAAUAUUGCACAAUGGGCGCAAGCCUGAUGCAGCCAUGCCGCGUGUAUGAAGAAGGCCUUCGGGUUGUAAAGUACUUUCAGCGGGGAGGAAGGGAGUAAAGUUAAUACCUUUGCUCAUUGACGUUACCCGCAGAAGAAGCACCGGCUAACUCCGUG